AGGAAGAACAAGCAACUGCGCUUGCUUCAGUAAUGGCGAAUGAACUGGCAACACAAGGCUCAGCCUGAAUGGAAUCCAGCUGCACUUCUGUGCACGUGGCUCGUGUGUGAUUCAGCAAAUGCUGUGGGUUGAAGGAGCAGGUGGCGAGUUUGGUCAGGCCAUGCACCAAGAAAGACCCUGGAAUGGGCUACGACACAAGGAUACUGUCCUGUAUGGUGCUGUGUGACGUGGCUUGGCUGGGCUUUGCUGCCUGCAUCCAAGAGUAGAGUUGCUUGGGACUGCAGUUUGAAGAGCGUGGUGUAUCCUACGCAAGGCACAAUACUGACAUGGAACCGAUAGAGCACAAGUAGAGUGAUUGAAGGAUGCAAAGCACCUUGCAAAGGGGGUUCAACGUCCCUGAAGCCUCAGCAGGAACGGCGGAGAGUGGUGUUGUGGCUAUCUGGUCGCAAUCAGACAGUCUGUCCAGCUGGAUUGGCAGUGCCAUCUGCUGGCUGGCUGCUCUGAGACCAGGGUCCCCAGGACCAAACGUUGGAAUCCAAGCAACCUUGGGCUGGCCCACAGCUGGCUACUGAGCUCCAUCCCAGAUGUUGGAACGUUUCGUGGCAGCUUGUGGUGACACUCAGCAUACCUGAGCCUGAGGGCAACAGAUCAGAGGACAGACUGUGGCAAAGCGCCCCAAGAGGGGCCAUGCAGUUCUGAGAGAUGUGCCAAACCUGCUUUGUCUGAGGACAUUGCAGUACAAUGUGCCUUGAUAUGUUGAAGCUAAGCCAUGCUGCCUGUUGGCUGCAUCGUCUUGACGAUGGCUCACUGGUGGUGGAAGCUUUGCAGAGAGUGUGCAUUGUAGAUGGCAGUUGAGCUUGGUCUCAGGACCACUCUCUGCCCGUCUUGAAACACGGACCAAGGAGUCUAUGGAGCAAGCAUAUCUGAUGGUGUGAUCAGCAAAACCACUUGAUGUGGUGAAGGCAACAAACCCAGAUGGUUCAGCUGUGUGCACAAGGGCAGAGUGGCACUGGCAUGUGGGAAUUCUGUGCUGGAGUCAAAUGCCUCAAGUCAUCAGUGGAUAUUCUGCAUGGGACACCAGUCCUGAAGUCCAGUGGACAGGGUUCUGAGUGAAUGCGUGGUCCAUGGGACCCGAAAGGUGGUGAACUAUACCGUGUCAUGGCGAAGCUGUGGGAAACUGCAGUGGAAGCCAGAAGCUGUUCUGACGUGCAAAUUGUGUAGCCUGAGCGCGGCAUAGGGGUGAAAGGCCAAUCGAGCCACCUAGUAGC
This 1268-nucleotide ribosomal RNA is filed under the name Trachelomonas variabilis. RNAcentral's name for it is "partial large subunit ribosomal RNA". It matches the Rfam family "Eukaryotic large subunit ribosomal RNA", at positions 54 to 951 of the family's 3401-position model. Lineage: Eukaryota; Euglenozoa; Euglenophyceae; Euglenales; Euglenaceae. The record is from RNAcentral.